RNAcentral lists this ribosomal RNA (650 nucleotides) under Listeria seeligeri. Its description in RNAcentral is "partial 23S ribosomal RNA". It matches the Rfam family "Bacterial large subunit ribosomal RNA", at positions 1194 to 1840 of the family's 2925-position model. Lineage: Bacteria; Bacillati; Bacillota; Bacilli; Caryophanales; Listeriaceae. The record is from RNAcentral.
CCGAAACUGUGGAUGAACCUCUUUAGAGGUUCGUGGUAGGAGAGCGUUCUAAGGGCGGUGAAGUCAGACCGGAAGGACUGGUGGAGCGCUUAGAAGUGAGAAUGCCGGUAUGAGUAGCGAAAGAAGGGUGAGAAUCCCUUCCACCGAAUAUCUAAGGUUUCCUGAGGAAGGCUCGUCCGCUCAGGGUUAGUCGGGACCUAAGCCGAGGCCGAUAGGCGUAGGCGAUGGACAACAGGUAGAGAUUCCUGUACCAGUGCUAAUUGUUUAACCGAUGGGGUGACACAGAAGGAUAGGGAAUCGCACGAAUGGAAAUGUGCGUCCAAGCAGUGAGUGUGAGAAGUAGGCAAAUCCGCUUCUCGCGAAGCAUGAGCUGUGAUGGGGAAGGAAAUUAAGUACGGAAGUUCCUGAUUUCACGCUGUCAAGAAAAGCCUCUAGGAAGAGUAGUACUGCCCGUACCGCAAACCGACACAGGUAGAUGAGGAGAGAAUCCUAAGGUGAGCGAGAGAACUCUCGUUAAGGAACUCGGCAAAAUGACCCCGUAACUUCGGGAGAAGGGGUGCUCUAUUAGGGUGCAAGCCCGAGAGAGCCGCAGUGAAUAGGCCCAGGCGACUGUUUAGCAAAAACACAGGUCUCUGCAAAACCGUAAGGUG